Molecule: ribosomal RNA, 406 nt
Filed under: uncultured bacterium
Lineage: Bacteria
Description: bacterial SSU rRNA
Rfam family: Bacterial small subunit ribosomal RNA
Source: RNAcentral
UGGGGGAUAUUGCGCAAUGGGGGAAACCCUGACGCAGCAACGCCGCGUGAAGGAAGAAGGUCUUCGGAUUGUAAACUUCUUUGAUGAGGGAAGAAUAAAUGACGGUACCUCAAAAACAAGCCACGGCUAACUACGUGCCAGCAGCCGCGGUAAUACGUAGGUGGCAAGCGUUGUCCGGAUUUACUGGGUGUAAAGGGUGCGUAGGCGGAUCUGCAAGUCAGAUGUGAAAUCCCGGGGCUUAACUCCGGGGCUGCAUUUGAAACUGCAUUUCUUGAGUGAUGGAGAGGUAAGUGGAAUUCCCAGUGUAGCGGUGAAAUGCGUAGAUAUUGGGAGGAACACCAGUGGCGAAGGCGACUUACUGGACAUUAACUGACGCUGAGGCACGAAAGCGUGGGUAGCAAACAGG